Ribosomal RNA from Quercus robur (English oak), 119 nucleotides. The record is from RefSeq and is a predicted model, not a curated record. NCBI's taxonomy places the organism in Eukaryota, Viridiplantae, Streptophyta, Magnoliopsida, Fagales, Fagaceae.
GGGUGCAAUCAUACCAACACUAAUGUACCGGAUCCCGUCGGAACUCAGCAGUUAAGCGUGUUUGGGCAAGAGUUGUACUAGGAUGGGUAACCUCCUGGGAAGUCCUCGUGUUACACCUA